AUAAGCUGCCAAAAGACCAAGCAGUGCGAAGCUCUUGGCUGACAGUGGUGCCUGCUAAUUUCCACUGCAAGGAUUUCGUCCACGAAUGUUAUCAUAGGUUACGCGCGACUCCAGAGGCAAUUUGGAAUCUCGGCACGAAAUCGUCUGAUGAAAAUCUGAGGUGCCCGACGCAUAACAUUUUGAACGUGCCACGGAGGAUCAAGGCAAAAAACGAGAGCAAAAAAUGGUGCACGCUGAAGGCGGAAAUGAAGCAUGAUCUGGCUUGCAUCUGGUCAUGAAGAAAUUGCUGACACGUUAGUUGCAGUCCACCUCCACCAACAGGGUGGAAAACAAAGAUCGCCAUUCCGAUUAGCUGCUAUCUCCCAGUUCAAGCACUUUUGUGUCUGGACACUGGUUCCUGUGGAUGGGGUGGUACAAGCUUUACUGUCUGAUAUAGAAGUGAUGAGCAUCCAUAAGGACACAUGCCAGAAAGGGAGUCUCUUUGGGAUGACAAACCCUCAUCACCUCAUGAGGAUACAAUGGUUGACGAAUGGUUCUCAAGCACAUCGAAACUUCCAACAAAUAAUUAAUGAAAAAGCCAGUCAGUGCUAGCACCAGGAAUUGAACGUGGGCCAUCCUGCUACCAGUCAGAGAUGUUCAGUGGUGUAGCCACGAGGGGGCUAGGGGGUCUCGAGCCCCCCCUACCUGCC
Ornithodoros turicata is the source of this 689-nucleotide long non-coding RNA. RefSeq lists it as uncharacterized. The transcript is spliced from 4 exons. The record is from RefSeq and is a predicted model, not a curated record. Lineage: Eukaryota; Metazoa; Arthropoda; Arachnida; Ixodida; Argasidae.